Medicago truncatula (barrel medic) is the source of this 278-nucleotide microRNA precursor. It matches the Rfam family "MIR2655 microRNA precursor family". The record is from Rfam. NCBI's taxonomy places the organism in Eukaryota, Viridiplantae, Streptophyta, Magnoliopsida, Fabales, Fabaceae.
CCCUUAAGUAUUAGAAGUUUCGUUUUGGUACCUUAACUUAUUUUUUGGUUUCGUUUUGGUCCCUUAACUUAUUUUUUGGUUUCGUUUUGGUCCCUUAACUCUAAUACAUUCAUCCUAACAUAAAGGACUAAAGUGGUUGACGAAGGAAGAGUUAAGGACCAAAACGAAACCAAAAAGUAAGUUAAAGGACCAAAACGAAACUUUUAAUAGUUAAGGGACCAAAACGAAACCAAAAAGUAAGUUAAGAGACCAAAACGAAACUUUUAAUAGUUAAGGGA